This is an RNA transcript of Malania oleifera, 2510 nucleotides long. RefSeq lists it as uncharacterized. The transcript is spliced from 4 exons. The record is from RefSeq and is a predicted model, not a curated record. NCBI's taxonomy places the organism in Eukaryota, Viridiplantae, Streptophyta, Magnoliopsida, Santalales, Ximeniaceae.
UUUUUUUUUUUUUUUGGAUAAAAAAGAUGUAUUACAUAGAGAAAAGAGAAAUCACAACUUAAGUGGGGAUUGGAAGUCCAUCAAAAUUUUUGUAAAAAAAUAUUGAAAGAACAAAAAAAAAUUAAAAGAAGAAAAUAAAAACAAAAAAAAGAAAUAAAAACUAAACAAAAUUAACCAAGAAAGCCUCUUUUCAAUCCCUUCCCGUAGUAAUUCACCAAGCCCUUCAAAUUAGUUAAUUACCUUUGACCCUUCACUUUAUUUUUACCACCUUCAAGACUCACUUCAUUUCCUCUAGGAUCACAGAGCUUUUAUUCCAUUUUAUCCAUUAAUUCUUGAGCUUCUAAAAAUCCCUCUUAUGAAUCUCCUCCAUGGGUACAGGCAGAAUUCCUGAUGCCGUGUUGCUAGAAAAGAAGAACCAGCAGACCAAACACACACAAACGCAUACAAGUAGCUUUGCUCGCUAUUCAAUGAAAUCUAUCAAAAAGAUACAAAAACAAGAAAGCUCAUCACUCUAAAGUAUAGAUAACUCACUACUUUAGAGAUACAGAGAUUAAAGAUAAAAGUUCACCACUCACCAAGGAGAUACAAAACUGAAGAGAAACAAGACAAAGCCAAAGCCUACAAUUUUCAUUCAAAUUACACUUUGCUCCACUAAUGCAAGCCUCAUAUGAGGGGCUUGGAACAGCCCUCCAAGUUUAGGAAAAUGAUACUCCACGUUUUCUAGCUAAAUAUAAUUGAUUUUGACAAGAAUAAGACUCAAAAGAAGAGCUUGAUGUGUUUUCUUACAUUGGGAAUACAAGCAGACACAUAAGAAGCUUGAACUGGCAGACUGAACACUACAAAUUCAAACUACCAUAACUUCUAGUAGACAACUCCAGUUAAUAUCUAAUUUAAUCUGUUGAAAAGAGAAUUUCUUCAAAUUUAAUUCCAUAUAUGACAUGCAUAUUUUCAGACUAUAGAUUAUUUUUGAAAAUGGGCUCAAAACUGGGCCAAAACCUGCUGGUUCACAACUUCCAUAACUGAAUUCGUAUGCUUUGUUAAGCCACCUUCCGAAAGCCCAAAUCCACUUGAACUCAUUGAGCACACUCCUGUGUCAUGCUCCCCUGGUUGAAGAAGACUCGUCCUCAAGUCAUGUGUUCUAUCAUCACCAUAAUAAGGAGACAAAUCAGCAACACUGAAAGUUUCCAAAACAUCAUAAUCAGCUGGAAGUUCAAACUUGUAGGCAUUUUCACCAAUUCACCUGAGAAUUUUGAAAGGACCAUCAGCCAUUGGCUUCAAUUUUCCAAAUUUUCCAUGACGGAAUCUCCUUUUUGCAAGCUUCUGAAUUUGUUUAGCUAUUUCUUCUGCUUCUCCACUAAAAUUAUUAGAAGUUGGAAGAGGAACCAGAUCCAAUGGACUCAGUGAAUUCUGGCCGUAAUCAUCCUAAAAAGGACUGCAAGAAGUACUUCGGCUAGUUGAAUGGUUGUAAGCAAAUUAAGCUUGUGGCAAAACAAGAUCCCAAUCAUUCUUGGGCACAUGAAGAGCUGAUACAGCACAUGGUCUCUUACUCACAAAAACCUCUGCCAUAAGCUCAUCUACUUGCCUUUGCAAUUCAUCAAGCUCCUUUGGACUCAUUUUGUAGGCUGAUUUGUUGGGAAGCAUAGAACUGGGAAUAAAAUCAAAGCAAUGCUGCAUGUCUUGCAUUGGAGGAAUACCUGGAAGGCUGGAAGUAUAACUUCAGGAACAGCAUCAUUAAACUCAUCAAGUAAAGGUUGCACUUCAGGUGGCAACUCACUUCUGCAUUUUCUUCAAAAACAACAAGAGCGUAUGCGGUUUGGAAAAGAUCUCAGGUUUAGAAGGACCCAAGACAAUCUUCACACCAUCAUUUCCAAAAGAGUAACGUUGUGUUUGGGAGCAUGGAUUACGGAUCUUGAAUUUGGAUUGGAUUGGGGAGGAUUUGAAAAUUUUUCAAUACAAUUUAUAUUACGUCUUAUCCAAAUCCAAUAUCACUCCAAAUCCAAUAGUUCUCCAAACAAUGGUAAAGGCCAUUGGUGAGUCUCUUGGAGCAUGGCAGUGUUCAUAAGCUGUUUUUGUGAGGCUGUGGCAAUGUUAUAUAAGUUUGUUGGUGACUUGACCAUGGUAGUUUUGGUGUUCAUGUUGUUCGUGGCUGCUCCAAUUGUGGUCUUCUAACAUGGUAUCAGAGCAGGUCACAAGGAGGUCUUCAGUUCUAGUCUCAUCGCCCAUGUUUAUUAUGUGGUGUUCAAAAAAAAUUAUUGUAUUCUUCGUAAUGGGUGUUAUCUAUCAUGUGUUUAUCUCUUCAUGUAUUGUUGGGCUCCACAUGCAGGGGAGUGUUAAAGCUUGAUAUACAUUGUUGGCCCACAACCUAAUAGCUUAAGCUUUUAGGUAAAGUGGUUGUUCGACAUGGUAUCAUAGCUGGUUACCAAGAGGUCCUGACUUCUACUCUUGUUGUCCGCAUUUAUUGUGCAGUGUUCAAAAAAAUUUAUUGUAUUCCCUAUCAUGGGUGUUAUCUA